This is a long non-coding RNA of Pelmatolapia mariae (spotted tilapia), 1252 nucleotides long. RefSeq lists it as uncharacterized. NCBI's taxonomy places the organism in Eukaryota, Metazoa, Chordata, Actinopteri, Cichliformes, Cichlidae. The transcript is spliced from 3 exons. The record is from RefSeq and is a predicted model, not a curated record.
AUCUGUUGACCUGAAAGGGUUCCUUUUUGCUGUGCUUGACCAUUAUGGAGAGGUUCGUGGAGCUGUACAAAAUCAAGAGCGGCAUAGAAAGGCUAACUAGGCUCAUAAGAUGCUUCGGAGAUGAUAGCCCUACACAAAGGAAGAGGACAGAGGACCUCAUUUUCUAAAGGAAGAUCCCUCACACACUUUCAAGACUGUGAAGCCGACAGGUAUUGAAGACACGUUUUCUAAGAGGAUGAAAGUUGGCAUUGCGAUGGUGAAAGAAGAAGACAUCGAUGUGUUGGUUGUCCUUGAGGCAGCAGUAAUCCUGUCUAAUCUGAGGGAUGUCUCAAGUGCCAUUUCCAUGCUGAUGGGCCUUCUUUUUGCCCUCAACAUACACUAUCCAAAGGAACUUAAGGACAUCUUUGAAGUCAUUCAGAACAUCCUAAUGAACAUUGGUGGAAGGCAGUGCAUCUCACUAGUGCAUGGUCUAAGAAACAGACUCUUGCAGAAAGCCAUGCAGAACUGUAAUUGUAUGAUCCUUAGUGUUAAGGACAGUUUUUAUUUUACUGUUUGUUUUUUUAUUCUUGCAAGUUCUCAUUCUCACUUUUGUAUGUCACUAAAUGACUACACUUUACAUUCCAGAUUAGACAAUUACUCAUUUGUUCAUGGUUUAAGAAACUUAUGUGAACAACAAUAUAAUGCUGGACUCUGCAGAUGCUUAUCUCAUGCAAGUCAGUAGUUUUUCCUUUGUUUUGCAAUUGAGCAGACUCAAACUAAUGUUUCUGAAAUAUCCAUAUUAUCAAAUGUUUCAGAAGCAUGCACUCAUUUUCAGAGAUAUUGGUUCUGUGGAAUUUGUUGCAAUUGUAAACGAAGACAAAUACAAGAGUUUGAUGUCUUAGUUAUUAUAAACUGAUCUUUACUGUCACUUAUCAAAGGUUUUGUACUAUUUUAAUAUUUCACGUUUUAUGCUAACAGGUGUGACUGAGCACAAUGAAGUUUAAAAAUUUUGUAAAUGUAAAGAAUAACUUUUCUAAAAUAGCAAGUGUCCCGUUGAUACAUUACAUUAAUGCAGACUUUAUGUUGUUACUUCACAAGAAUCACUACUGCUCCUAGAGUAUUGGUCAGAAUUUCAUCUUCACCCAAACUGGGCUCAAGACCAAGUUCAAAUUUAUUGUUUCACAGGGAGCAGCCUUUGAGUUUUGAUGGAUUGUGAGCCUGAUGAGCUACGUCACUGAUUUUUCUGUUUCUCAGAUGACUAAGAUGGCACAAU